CCGCGGUCUCUGCCACUGCGGGGUGCGGUCCAGCUGCAGCCUAGCAACCAUCAGUAGGGUAAGAAAAAAAGGGGAAGACAGAUGCCUCGCCAGGUGGACAGUUUAAGCACAAGUGGAAUAACUUGGUGUUCUGUAAGAGUAAAUCUUGACAUGAAUGAUCUGAUAAUGGAGAGGAGAGGACUGUUCACAAUUAGUUCUCAACAAGUGGACAUAAAAGUCCAACGUUGCGUGAAUUGGUGUCUUUGGAUGGUUAGUUUUCAAUCAGAACCUAAAAGAACUCUGACAGUUGGGUUUAGGCCCAACUUGGCAUGUUGCCCAUUGUCACGACGAUCGAUUAGAAGAAAAAUGACGACCGGAAACGUCAAGUUGCGGAAAUGAUAACAGUUGUGGGUUUCAGUAACGCACAGAGUACGAAGUAACCAAACACACAUUCAUUAUGGUGUGAUGAGGUCUUCAUAUGUUUCACUAACAGUCCCUUCUCUGUCCUGUUUGUGGCAGUAACCAAGUUCCAUAAUCUACAGAGGGGGCAAGUGGAAAACCCUGUUCCAGUUGACACCUGGCCCCAGGAAAAGUUUAGUGACUAGGUACCCAGACCCGAUAUUCGGCCAAAUUUAACUACCCACAUCUAAAUAUUUACACAGACAUAGCAUCUUAAUCUAUCCAUACUGUCCUAAAGAGUUUUUCUUACCAUUUCUUUGAUCUUGUCCCAUUCUGUACACUGAUAGUUACUUGCUUCACUUGGUAAAUUAAACAACCUUAAGCAGUUAUCUU
Long non-coding RNA from Limulus polyphemus (Atlantic horseshoe crab), 771 nucleotides. RefSeq lists it as uncharacterized. Lineage: Eukaryota; Metazoa; Arthropoda; Merostomata; Xiphosura; Limulidae. The record is from RefSeq and is a predicted model, not a curated record. The transcript has 3 exons.